UAUUUAUUCAGAUUAGUGAUUAGAUUAGUAUUAAGUUAGUAACACUGAUGUGUCAUGGGCUCUAUAUCACAGUUAACAAUAUUACAAAUACAAAUGGCAUUAUAUCACAUCAUAUAUACAAUUCAAGAGAAGAUCCAUAUUGUGCAGGAAAUCAACAAUGAGUUAUUUUAUUAGUCCAAAGAUUUACAAUUUCAGUUCAUAAUCAUGUCAUAUGACAUUAAAAACAAAGGAAUUUACUAGAUCAUAGGAUGAACUGAUUAGGUAUUGUCAUGGAUGUAUUUGCAAUGCAAAAGGAAAAUAUAUACAUAAUACAUUGUGUUAUGUGUGAUAUGGCAUGCAAAAAAGAAAUGUAAAAUAUAUAAUCAAGUACAUAGGGGUGGAUGAUUCAGUUUCCAUGAGAGAUUGAAUUUGUAGACUUUGUAGGUCCUUUUUAUGCCAAGAGGAAUCCAGAAUGUCCUUCGUGUUGUGAGGAAAAUCCAACUCCCGCUGCGAAAUAAAAACUAAUGCAUAUCUCACUGGCACUGCUGUCUGCAGGGAGAAUGGAAGAGACAUUUUAAUGCAUUUAAGAGUUUUUUUUCUAGGUAGCGGUUGAUAGACAGAGGAACCUUAUAUUUGCGAACACCUAGGGUUUAAUGCACUCAGAGGUGCUCUCUGCCUUGUCUUCCGCCCAACAAAACAUGUUCUGCAGAAUAAAGGAAAAAGCAAAGCACAAAAUUAUUCCUUCUGCCUUCUAUCAAGCCCCUGCAUUCACGGCAGCGUCUUAAGGGCGCGUCAGUCCGCCUGCCUCUCUUGGAGACGUAAUUAUCCUUUUUCCUGUCACAGGGCUCCAAAUGAUCUCUAACCACUGGGGUGCUUUUGCAGGAGCUCAGCUUUGUCAAUAGGAAGGAGAAAGAGGUUUAAUUUUCAGACAGCUGCACAUCUACUUUUAUCAUACUAUUAUUUGCUCUCUGGUCAUCUAUCUCAUCCGUGUGUGUUUAUUCGCACUUCUGUUUGUGAGGUUUGGCUGCACAUAUGUAUGGCCCACCUACAUUAACAUAUUUACUUAUAGUCUUGCACUUGCACUCUUGCAGUUUUUUUUAGUGUGUACCGUUUUUUUUUUUUUUGCACUCCAUAUUGUCCGUGUAAUUUUCCUUUCAGCAUUUCUCUGUUUUCCCCCCUUUUCCUUCCCUUUCAGAAAGGGCUGUGAAUGGAAGGAAAAUUAUCACAAUUACUCAUAUAAUUGAGUCGUCUUUGUAGAAAGUGAAGCUGUAGUAGCCUUUUUUUCCCCAUCAUCUAAAAUGGUUUCAUUAUAGGGGUUUUCAUAUUCCCUGACACAGGGCGAGGAGAGGAAAGGAGAGGAGCUGGUGAGGGCCUGGAGCCGAGCGGCUGGGCGCGUGCAGGAGACGCAGGCCAAACACGAAGGAUCAUUAAGGUGUGAACCACUGGCCAGGCCUGGAGACAAUUAUUCCUGUCUGCUCUCCCAGAGGACCCAUGAGGUAGGACUCUCCUUUAACUCUCUCCCACUGUGGCCUGAGUGUGUGCAGCUGAGAAAGAGAACACAGCAGUGAUGGGCUAAAGGCCUUGAGCCCUGCAUUAAUCCAUCUCCAUUUAUAUGGCCUACGCAUACACUGCAGUUGUGUAAAUAUUGACUGAUAUUUAUUGAGCAAUUAUUUAUCGAGUUAUGAUUUGCUUCAUUUUGUAAUGAUGUAGCAACCAUUCAUUUGAAAAAACAUUUUUUAUCUGACUAAUGUUAGGUACUUUAGCUAGUUUAUCUUCCAGUAGCAUGUUUGUUGUUUAGAAAAUAUCAUCAUAAAUUGUAUUUUGAAGGGGAACAGGCUUUUAACUGGUCUCACUUAUUGGAAUAGAAAAUGAAUAACUCUCAAAAUGUAUAUUUUAAAAAGAAGAUAUAUGAUUCACAUAUAGGUAACUUGUUUAAAUUAAUUUGUAAGUACACAUGUUCAUAUCCAUAUAUAUUUAUGGACUGAUAACUGAUUAAAAUAAAAGUGCACAUUUUCAUUUAUAAAUUCUUUUCAAAACACACACAGUGAAAUGAUCAGUAAUUUAAUCGAAACUAGUCUGAAAUAACAACUGGUUGCUCUAAACAGGUUGAGUAUUUUAUGUUUAUUUAAAUAGGUGGUGGUGUUUUUUUUUAAAUUAAAUUGUUUAGUUAUAAGCUACAUAAUCGUCAAUACAAUCACACCUUUUCAAUUGAAUACUGGAAUAAAACAUUUAACAUGGCUUAAUCAUUGUGUAUCGAUUGGCAGGUUUUCUUGCACUACACCUUUUCUUGCACCUUCUCUGACAAAUUGUUCUGAAUCUGAAUGAGUACCUCUACACUGCCUCCUCUCUCUGUUUAUGAGAGCUCACUGGAGCAGAAAAUUGAAGGUAUGCCCUGCUUAAACCAUCCAAUAGUGAUCUAGUAAAACCUGGUCCAGUAAAGCACUAUUCUAUCCUCCAUGGUUGAUUAAACACACUGAAUUUGGAUCAUUACAUCUGAUCAAAUUUUGUCCCUUUUUGGGCUUUAUGCCACAGAGACAGGAAUGGAUCCAUUUUAGCAAGUGUGUAAAUAAGGUGUAAUUGCAAAUCUCUGGCUAAAUACCGGGCCACAUGUCCAAACGGACAGACUGGCUGUUAUUCACUCAGCUGAGCUGUUUAUGUUAAUGUGGAGUUAAUGCUUU
Long non-coding RNA from Ictalurus punctatus (channel catfish), 2657 nucleotides. The record is from Ensembl. NCBI's taxonomy places the organism in Eukaryota, Metazoa, Chordata, Actinopteri, Siluriformes, Ictaluridae.